AUCCCAUGAUGAGGGCAUUCUGAUAUGUAAUCUUGGAAGCAUUCCCAUGCCUCAGGGAUAGAUUUUUCAUACUGUUGCU
Molecule: small nucleolar RNA, 79 nt
Filed under: Sorghum bicolor (sorghum)
Lineage: Eukaryota; Viridiplantae; Streptophyta; Magnoliopsida; Poales; Poaceae
Description: Plant small nucleolar RNA R71
Rfam family: Plant small nucleolar RNA R71
About the family: R71 is a member of the C/D box family of snoRNAs containing the C (UGAUGA) and D (CUGA) box motifs. Multiple nearly identical copies of this snoRNA have been identified in Arabidopsis, and it is thought to function as a 2'-O-ribose methylation guide for 18S ribosomal RNA.
Source: Rfam by way of RNAcentral